This is a long non-coding RNA of Pecten maximus, 2134 nucleotides long. RefSeq lists it as uncharacterized. NCBI's taxonomy places the organism in Eukaryota, Metazoa, Mollusca, Bivalvia, Pectinida, Pectinidae. The transcript is spliced from 5 exons. The record is from RefSeq and is a predicted model, not a curated record.
GGUCAAAGUUGAAAAAACGGCAAAUCCAUAAAGAAAAUACACUCUUAUGAAAAAUUCUUAUUGAAGUUUUGGCGAUAUGUAACCCCUAGAAUUAAAAAAUAAUAAUUUUCUGGGGAAUCCUCUCACUGUCGAAUGACGAGAUAAAAUGCAAAUUUCCCGCUUUGGGCGCAUGCGCAAGAAUCUAGGCAAGUAGAACGUAAACAUAAGCGGCAGAAACAUGGCUUCCGAAGCUAAGAGAUGUCGGCCUAGAAUUGUAACGAGUUCGGCAACAUAGCGACGUAAAUAGAAAUGGUCACAGGUCAACCCGAUUAUACGACUGGGGAAACAACACACUAGGUGGAAGACAUUCAAUGAAGAAAAUAGUUUCUCUACAAACGAGCAUGCAGCACGGAUUCUUCUGGAUAAGUGGCCGUGCACUUCAUUGACACAAGAAGUUCAUGCAGGUGAAGACAUCCCGACACCAGCUGAAACGUCUAUGGGACCGCCAUCACAUGUGUGCACCCCUACACCAGUAACAUCUACGCCUGCACAUGCCCAUAAAGAACCUAUAGCUAUAGAUAGACCUCCGAUGUCUCAGAUAUAGAAGCUCAGUCAUCACACUCGUCUGAUUUAUCUUGUGUGGAAGCAUUACAAUCAGACUCCCAGAGUAACAUUAAUGCCAGCUUGCUUUCCCAUUACCAACAGAAGGCUAAAGAGGAUGACACCUCAUUUAUUGAUAUACCUCAGACACAUCAACCUGAACACUUGCCAAUGGCUGAAGAUCCCAUAGAAAUGGAAGAGGUUGAUGUUGAUGAUGAGCUUGCAGAGGAUGAAGGACAAAGUGCCCUGUUGUAACUCACGUCAGUUCGAAUACCCACAACUUGUCAAAGAAAAGCAUGUGGUGCAAAUAUCAUUCUCCAAUGGAGAUAUGUUGGAUGUGCAGUACAGUUGAAAUGAAUUGGAGGAGCAGCAUUUGGUUCUAGUCCUGGAUCCUCUGGUUCACCUACAUUUUCGCAAAGGUCAAAAACUAGGCCUGGCUGACGAUACACUAGCUGAAGAACUAAAUUUAUCAGUGGCUUUGGGUCCAUCCUUCUGAUUAUAUCCUAAUACAUAAAACAAUUAUUAUAGAACAAAUCCAUGUGGGUGGGAGUACUGUAGCAUUCUAAUGUAUAAAAAUAACUGUUUUUCCUUAUUUUUGGUUUUUGAGUUGAUAAAUUUAAAUGCACUUAUAUAACUUAUCUAUUCUCCCUCAAAUUUCAUUCCAAAUUUUUCUACUAAGGUUUUAUUUAAGGUAUGUAUGCGUUUUUUGAUAAUUGUUUGUGGAAGUAAGUAUUGUGUAAAUGUGGUGUUCAAUUUCAGAACAUGUAGGAGGUAGGUGUUCACUUAAUGGUGUAUUGCAGGUGUUUACAUUUCAGUACUAGUGUGUGUUUGAGAGUGUUCACUUGACAGUAAAUGCAGGUGUUCUUUCAACAUUGUGUGUAGGAAGUGUUCAAUUAUCAGUUUGCAGGAAGUGUUCACUUAUCAGUGUGUGUAGGAAGUGUUCAAUUAUCAGUGUGUGUAGGAAUUAUUCACUAUCAGUUUGUAGGAAGUGUUCAAUUAUCAGUGUGUGUAGGAAGUGUUCACUAUCAGUUUGUAGGAAGUGUUCAAUUAUCAGUGUGUGUAGGAAGUGUUCACUAUCAGUUUGUAGGAAGUGUUCAAUUAUAUCAGUGUGUAUACGAAGUGUUCACUUGUGAGAAUGUGUUUGAGGUGCACGUGUGUACUAACAUUGUGUGUAGUUGUUAUUAACUUAUAAUAACAUUGUGUUCAUAGAUGGUUCAUUCUGAUAAAUGUGUUAAUCAAGUGUCUAGUUGCAUAUUUUUUCAAUAUUCUGUGAACUAAAAUGAAAUACCCCCAUGUGUAAUGUAAAUACCUACCUAGAGAAACAGGUCUUAUAACCAUACCAUUCACUUGGUUGGUUAAAAAUUAGGUGUUCAUACACAUAUGGGAAGUAUGUUUGAUGUGUGAGAGGGUCUGUGCAUUUUUGGUAAAAUUUAACACUUUCAGUGAGUAAUAGUAUAAAUUGUCUCCUGAAUGCUUUGGUAAAAUGUCUACUGUUCUUUUUGUCUGUGUACAUGCCAAAGAAAUAUCAAAAUAAAAAAGAUAUGAAAAGAAAUAA